This 370-nucleotide long non-coding RNA is filed under the name Cucumis sativus (cucumber). RNAcentral describes it as "long non-coding RNA (CSAT_LNC000716)". Lineage: Eukaryota; Viridiplantae; Streptophyta; Magnoliopsida; Cucurbitales; Cucurbitaceae. The record is from RNAcentral.
UCAAGACAUAUCCAACGGAUCACCGUCGACCCCGUUCGAUAUCGGAGCCGGACACGUAAAUCCAACGGCUGCCCUCGAUCCCGGCCUUGUUUACGAUACCACCACCGACGACUACUUGGCCUUCCUCUGUGCCCUAAACUACAGCUCACUUCAAAUUAAAGUAAUCAGCAAGAAAGAUUUCACAUGCAAUGGAAACAAGAACUACAAAUUGGAGGAUUUAAACUACCCUUCAUUUGCAGUUCCAUUAGAAACACCUUCCACCAGAGGAGGUGAAAAUGUUGCUCCCACCACCAUAAAAUAUACAAGGACCCUGACCAACAAGGGUGCUUCAUCGACGUAUAAAGUGUCAGUGACGGCGAAAAGUUCAUCG